CAAAGAGAAGCAAUACCGUGAGGUGGAGCAAAACUCAAAAAAAUGAUCUCAGUUCGGACUGUAGGCUGCAACUCGCCUACACGAAGUUGGAAUUGCUAGUAAUCGUGGAUCAGCAUGCCACGGUGGAUACGUUCCCGGGUCUUGUACACACCGCCCGUCACACCAUGGGAGCUGGUAACACCCGAAGUCAGUAGUCUAACCGCAAGGAGGACGCUGCCGAAGGUGGGAUUAGCGACUGGGGUGAAGUCGUAACAAGGUAAC
Molecule: ribosomal RNA, 261 nt
Filed under: uncultured bacterium
Lineage: Bacteria
Description: partial 16S ribosomal RNA
Rfam family: Bacterial small subunit ribosomal RNA
Source: RNAcentral